This 1038-nucleotide long non-coding RNA is filed under the name Monodelphis domestica (gray short-tailed opossum). Its description in RNAcentral is "lncRNA (ENSMODG00000051272.1)". Lineage: Eukaryota; Metazoa; Chordata; Mammalia; Didelphimorphia; Didelphidae. The record is from RNAcentral.
GUGAAUGUAUAUAUGUAUUUCAGUGUGGUUGCAUGGUACUUGUAUGUCUAUUUGGGGAGGAAGUGAAAAAGAUGGCUAAAUGGAAAUCUAAAGUUGAUCAUCACCCAAAGGGAGUUAGACCUAACUUUACUGAGGAGGGGGGGGGGGUUUAGAGAAAGGGAUUGGUAUUGGUAGCUACCAGCCACUGCUUUCUCCUUUUCUCUCUGGGAUAGCCUCUGGCCAUGUCUCUGCCUUCUCUUUCUCCUCUCCCUCUAUUCCUUCACUCCUACCUCCUCUUCUUUCUCCUCUUCUCUGUCCUCCUCCUCCUCCUCUCCCUCUAUUCCUUCAUUCCCACCUCCUCUUCUUUCUCCUCUUCUCUGUCCUCCUCCUCCUCCUCCUCUCCCUCUAUUCCUUCAUUCCCACCUCCUCUUUCUCCUCUUCUCUGUCCUCAUCCUCCUCCUUCUCCUCCUCCUCCUCCUCUCCCUCUAUUCCUUCACUCCCACCUCCUCUUUCUCCUCUUCUCUGUCCUCCUCCUCUCCCUCUAUUCCUUCACUCCCACCUCCUCUUUCUCCUCUUCUUCCUCCCUCACCUCCUUCUUUCUUCAUCCUCUUCUUCCUAGAGCUGAGAGAAGGUUCUGUUGCUCCCUCAGCACUGCUAGGCAUGGCUCUGGGAUUGGCUCCCUAUGUCUGGGAAGCAAAUGUCAGAUUGUAUUCAUGUAGGAGAAGCGUUGACACCUCGUGGGUAAUGAAGAGAGAAAAUACAUCAGGGGUGUUUAGGGGAGAUGACAGCUGAUCACAGAGGCCUCCUCCUUCCCCAGAUGUAUUUUGUCAACUGAUCACUCAGGGCAGAGCAGAGAGGAAGCUCUCAUUCCUCCUGAGCUUCCCUGGGUACUCUGGAGAGAUUGGGGGCUUUUUGAUCCUGGACUCAUCUAUCUGAUCUUAGCUACCCUCUUGCUACUCUUACCUAAUGAACCAGGGAGCAAGGAGGCUUAGUGAUAUCUCCUGGGAAGGGAGGGCCUUUCUUCUCCCUAUUCCAUCUACCACCCCCCUUAGAAAAAAU